AAUCGUCACACGAAUGAUUUUAGGACACAACGCCUAACAACUCCCACGUAGACUAAAACCAAUCGGGGUAGUAUCUUAUAUCCAUCUUCCAUUUAAAGUCUUCGAACUCUUUGAUUUUGAGAGCUUUAGUGAACGGGUCAGCUAGAUUCUUCUUUCCAUCGAUCUGCUGAAGCUCAGCUAACCUCGAUUCAUGAUCUCUCACACUAGGUGAUAGCGGCAC
This 220-nucleotide long non-coding RNA is filed under the name Elaeis guineensis (African oil palm). Its description in RNAcentral is "long non-coding RNA (EGUI_LNC047311)". The record is from RNAcentral. Lineage: Eukaryota; Viridiplantae; Streptophyta; Magnoliopsida; Arecales; Arecaceae.